UGCUCGAGUGGCGAACGGGUGAGUAACACGUGAGUAACCUGCCCUUGACUUUGGGAUAACUUCAGGAAACUGGGGCUAAUACCGGAUAGGAGCUCCUGCUGCAUGGUGGGGGUUGGAAAGUUUCGGCGGUUGGGGAUGGACUCGCGGCUUAUCAGCUUGUUGGUGGGGUAGUGGCUUACCAAGGCUUUGACGGGUAGCCGGCCUGAGAGGGUGACCGGCCACAUUGGGGCUGAGAUACGGCCCAG
RNAcentral lists this ribosomal RNA (245 nucleotides) under uncultured bacterium. Its description in RNAcentral is "partial 16S ribosomal RNA". It matches the Rfam family "Bacterial small subunit ribosomal RNA", at positions 88 to 334 of the family's 1533-position model. The record is from RNAcentral. RNAcentral also lists the same sequence under 1 other name.